This 2114-nucleotide ribosomal RNA is filed under the name Escherichia coli. RNAcentral's name for it is "partial 23S ribosomal RNA". It matches the Rfam family "Bacterial large subunit ribosomal RNA", at positions 30 to 2167 of the family's 2925-position model. The record is from RNAcentral. Lineage: Bacteria; Pseudomonadati; Pseudomonadota; Gammaproteobacteria; Enterobacterales; Enterobacteriaceae.
GCCCUGGCAGUCAGAGGCGAUGAAGGACGUGCUAAUCUGCGAUAAGCGUCGGUAAGGUGAUAUGAACCGUUAUAACCGGCGAUUUCCGAAUGGGGAAACCCAGUGUGUUUCGACACACUAUCAUUAACUGAAUCCAUAGGUUAAUGAGGCGAACCGGGGGAACUGAAACAUCUAAGUACCCCGAGGAAAAGAAAUCAACCGAGAUUCCCCCAGUAGCGGCGAGCGAACGGGGAGGAGCCCAGAGCCUGAAUCAGUGUGUGUGUUAGUGGAAGCGUCUGGAAAGGCGCGCGAUACAGGGUGACAGCCCCGUACACAAAAAUGCACAUACUGUGAGCUCGAUGAGUAGGGCGGGACACGUGGUAUCCUGUCUGAAUAUGGGGGGACCAUCCUCCAAGGCUAAAUACUCCUGACUGACCGAUAGUGAACCAGUACCGUGAGGGAAAGGCGAAAAGAACCCCGGCGAGGGGAGUGAAAAAGAACCUGAAACCGUGUACGUACAAGCAGUGGGAGCCUCUUUUAUGGGGUGACUGCGUACCUUUUGUAUAAUGGGUCAGCGACUUAUAUUCUGUAGCAAGGUUAACCGAAUAGGGGAGCCGAAGGGAAACCGAGUCUUAACUGGGCGUUAAGUUGCAGGGUAUAGACCCGAAACCCGGUGAUCUAGCCAUGGGCAGGUUGAAGGUUGGGUAACACUAACUGGAGGACCGAACCGACUAAUGUUGAAAAAUUAGCGGAUGACUUGUGGCUGGGGGUGAAAGGCCAAUCAAACCGGGAGAUAGCUGGUUCUCCCCGAAAGCUAUUUAGGUAGCGCCUCGUGAAUUCAUCUCCGGGGGUAGAGCACUGUUUCGGCAAGGGGGUCAUCCCGACUUACCAACCCGAUGCAAACUGCGAAUACCGGAGAAUGUUAUCACGGGAGACACACGGCGGGUGCUAACGUCCGUCGUGAAGAGGGAAACAACCCAGACCGCCAGCUAAGGUCCCAAAGUCAUGGUUAAGUGGGAAACGAUGUGGGAAGGCCCAGACAGCCAGGAUGUUGGCUUAGAAGCAGCCAUCAUUUAAAGAAAGCGUAAUAGCUCACUGGUCGAGUCGGCCUGCGCGGAAGAUGUAACGGGGCUAAACCAUGCACCGAAGCUGCGGCAGCGACGCUUAUGCGUUGUUGGGUAGGGGAGCGUUCUGUAAGCCUGCGAAGGUGUGCUGUGAGGCAUGCUGGAGGUAUCAGAAGUGCGAAUGCUGACAUAAGUAACGAUAAAGCGGGUGAAAAGCCCGCUCGCCGGAAGACCAAGGGUUCCUGUCCAACGUUAAUCGGGGCAGGGUGAGUCGACCCCUAAGGCGAGGCCGAAAGGCGUAGUCGAUGGGAAACAGGUUAAUAUUCCUGUACUUGGUGUUACUGCGAAGGGGGGACGGAGAAGGCUAUGUUGGCCGGGCGACGGUUGUCCCGGUUUAAGCGUGUAGGCUGGUUUUCCAGGCAAAUCCGGAAAAUCAAGGCUGAGGCGUGAUGACGAGGCACUACGGUGCUGAAGCAACAAAUGCCCUGCUUCCAGGAAAAGCCUCUAAGCAUCAGGUAACAUCAAAUCGUACCCCAAACCGACACAGGUGGUCAGGUAGAGAAUACCAAGGCGCUUGAGAGAACUCGGGUGAAGGAACUAGGCAAAAUGGUGCCGUAACUUCGGGAGAAGGCACGCUGAUAUGUAGGUGAAGCGACUUGCUCGUGGAGCUGAAAUCAGUCGAAGAUACCAGCUGGCUGCAACUGUUUAUUAAAAACACAGCACUGUGCAAACACGAAAGUGGACGUAUACGGUGUGACGCCUGCCCGGUGCCGGAAGGUUAAUUGAUGGGGUUAGCGGUAACGCGAAGCUCUUGAUCGAAGCCCCGGUAAACGGCGGCCGUAACUAUAACGGUCCUAAGGUAGCGAAAUUCCUUGUCGGGUAAGUUCCGACCUGCACGAAUGGCGUAAUGAUGGCCAGGCUGUCUCCACCCGAGACUCAGUGAAAUUGAACUCGCUGUGAAGAUGCAGUGUACCCGCGGCAAGACGGAAAGACCCCGUGAACCUUUACUAUAGCUUGACACUGAACAUUGAGCCUUGAUGUGUAGGAUAGGUGGGAGGCUUUGAAGUGUGG